GAUGAACGCUGGCGGCGUGCUUAACACAUGCAAGUCGAACGAAGCACUUAAGAUUGCUUCUUCGGAUGACGUCUUUUGUGACUUAGUGGCGGACGGGUGAGUAACGCUUGGGUAACCUGCCUCACACAGGGGGAUAACAGUUAGCAAUGACUGCUAAUACCGCAUAACCCGAUAGGAUCGCAUGAUCCAGACGGAAAAGAUUUAUCGGUGUGAGAUGGACCCGCGUCUGAUUAGCUAGUUGGAGAGGUAACGGCCCACCAAGGCGACGAGCAGUAGCCGGCGUGAGAGGGUGAACGGCGACAUUGGGACUGGGACAAGACCCAAACUCCAACGGGAGGCAGCAGUGGUGAAAAUUGCGCAAUGGGGGAAACCCUGAUGCAGCGACGCCGCGUGAGUGAAGAAGUAUUUCGGUAUGUAAAGCUCUAUCAGCAGGGAGGAAAAGGACGGUACCGGACUAAGAGGCCCCGGCUAACUACGU
Molecule: ribosomal RNA, 478 nt
Filed under: uncultured bacterium
Lineage: Bacteria
Description: partial 16S ribosomal RNA
Rfam family: Bacterial small subunit ribosomal RNA
Source: RNAcentral